CUGGGACUGAGACACGGCCCAGACUCCUACGGGAGGCAGCAGUGGGGAAUAUUGCACAAUGGGCGCAAGCCUGAUGCAGCGACGCCGCGUGAGGGAUGACGGCCUUCGGGUUGUAAACCUCUUUCAGCAGGGAAGAAGCGCAAGUGACGGUACCUGCAGAAGAAGCGCCGGCUAACUACGUGCCAGCAGCCGCGGUAAUACGUAGGGCGCAAGCGUUGUCCGGAAUUAUUGGGCGUAAAGAGCUCGUAGGCGGCUUGUCGCGUCGGAUGUGAAAGCCCGGGGCUUAACUCCGGGUCUGCAUUCGAUACGGGCAGGCUAGAGUUCGGUAGGGGAGAUCGGAAUUCCUGGUGUAGCGGUGAAAUGCGCAGAUAUCAGGAGGAACACCGGUGGCGAAGGCGGAUCUCUGGGCCGAUACUGACGCUGAGGAGCGAAAGCGUGGGGAGCGAACAGGAUUAGAUACCCUGGUAGUCCACGCCGUAAACGUUGGGAACUAGGUGUGGGCGACAUUCCACGUUGUCCGUGCCGCAGCUAACGCAUUAAGUUCCCCGCCUGGGGAGUACGGCCGCAAGGCUAAAACUCAA
This 581-nucleotide ribosomal RNA is filed under the name bacterium 4h111009. RNAcentral's name for it is "bacterial SSU rRNA". It matches the Rfam family "Bacterial small subunit ribosomal RNA", at positions 313 to 904 of the family's 1533-position model. The record is from RNAcentral.